AGGGAAUCUUCCACAAUGGACGCAAGUCUGAUGGAGCAACGCCGCGUGAGUGAAGAAGGUUUUCGGACCGUAAAGCUCUGUUGUUGGUGAAGAAGGAUAGAGGUAGUAACUGGCCUUUAUUUGACGGUAAUCAACCAGAAAGUCACGGCUAACUACGUGCCAGCAGCCGCGGUAAUACGUAGGUGGCAAGCGUUGUCCGGAUUUAUUGGGCGUAAAGCGAGCGCAGGCGGAAGAAUAAGUCUGAUGUGAAAGCCCUCGGCUUAACCGAGGAAUUGCAUCGGAAACUGUUUUUCUU
Molecule: ribosomal RNA, 295 nt
Filed under: uncultured bacterium
Lineage: Bacteria
Description: partial 16S ribosomal RNA
Rfam family: Bacterial small subunit ribosomal RNA
Source: RNAcentral